RNAcentral lists this ribosomal RNA (486 nucleotides) under uncultured Glomeromycotina. RNAcentral describes it as "SSU rRNA". It matches the Rfam family "Eukaryotic small subunit ribosomal RNA", at positions 562 to 1052 of the family's 1831-position model. Lineage: Eukaryota; Fungi; Glomeromycota. The record is from RNAcentral.
UGGUGCCAGCAGCCGCGGUAAUUCCAGCUCCAAUAGCGUAUAUUAAAGUUGUUGCAGUUAAAAAGCUCGUAGUUGAAUUUCGGGGUUAGUAGGUUGGUCAUGCCUCUGGUAUGUACUGGUCUCACUGAUUCCUCCUUCCUGAUGAACCGUAAUGCCAUUAAUUUGGUGUUGCGGGGAAUUUGGACUGUUACUUUGAAAAAAUUAGAGUGUUUAAAGCAAGCUAACGCUUGAAUACAUUAGCAUGGAAUAAUGAAAUAGGACGUUCGAUCUUAUUUUGUUGGUUUCUAGGAUUGACGUAAUGAUUAAUAGGGAUAGUUGGGGGCAUUAGUAUUCAAUUGUCAGAGGUGAAAUUCUUGGAUUUAUUGAAGACUAACUACUGCGAAAGCAUUUGCCAAGGAUGUUUUCAUUAAUCAAGAACGAAAGUUAGGGGAUCGAAGACGAUCAGAUACCGUCGUAGUCUUAACCAUAAACUAUGCCGACUAGGGA